RNAcentral lists this ribosomal RNA (418 nucleotides) under Semisulcospira libertina. RNAcentral describes it as "partial 16S ribosomal RNA". It matches the Rfam family "Bacterial large subunit ribosomal RNA", at positions 1956 to 2597 of the family's 2925-position model. The record is from RNAcentral. Lineage: Eukaryota; Metazoa; Mollusca; Gastropoda; Semisulcospiridae.
AUAAUCAUUUGCCUUAUAAUUGAAGGCUAGUAUGAAUGGUUUGACGAGAGCAACACUGUCUCCCUUUUAUUUUCAAGAACUUAACUUUUAGGUGAAGAGGCCUAAAUUUUAUUGAAGGACAAGAAGACCCUGUCGAGCUUAAAAGACAUUAUAGGAGUCUAGUAUAUUUUUAGAUAAAUUUUCUAUCAAGCUUUUUAGUUGGGGCGACUAAGGAACAAAAAAAGCUUCUUUCCAAUGAUAAACAAUCAUGUUUAGAUCCGAUAAUAGCGAUCAAAGAAAUUAGUUACCGCAGGGAUAACAGCAUAAUCUCUCUUAAGAGACCUAAUCGAAAGAGGGGGUUGUGACCUCGAUGUUGGACUAGAAUAUCCUAAAGAUGCAGAAGUCUUUGAGGGUCGGUCUGUUCGACCGUUAAAAUUCU